CUUGAGGAAGAUGUUUUUGACUAUUCGUGAUGAACAGAUUCUCAUUUUCUCGGAAAGUGUAAGAAACAAGUGCAAUUUCCCUUUGCCUAAUCUAAAGCAUCUCAAGGUGAAGGUAGCUAGAUGAAAAAAUUUGAUUCCCCAAGGGCAUAUUCAUCAUCGUUUUCUCACUCUCCUGAAGUUGGGGGUCUUGCGACUGAAAGAAACCAGACAUGUUGGCGCUCUGGAAAUUUUUUAAACCACAUGUCGUAUUUUUUCUGCUACAACAGAGUUUCAGCUUUCCAUUUCUUCUUUUCUUUUUUCAUUCUGUCCCUUUUUGUCUCUUAUUCCUUACCCAUUAUCAGUUCUGCAAACUAAUAACCAGUAACACUCUCUUUUUUUCUUUUUUUUGGCUCUAAAAAUGCAAUGUCAAACAAAAUUUAACCACAAAUAAUGUUGGGUGUAUAUAUAUAUAUAUAUAUAUAUGUAUAGGUGUGUCUCUGUAUAUUUAUAUAUAUAUAUAUGUAUAUGUACAGCUACGUAGACUUCAUUAUGAAAAUCUAGUUCAGUUUCGAGAAGAGUGGGGGAUUUAGCAAAAGCUUUGGGGCGUUGACUAGUGUUUCACUACAUUUCAUUUACUUUAUUUUUCUUAGCCUUGCCUUACUUUCAGUUAGUCAUAAUGAUCUUGUAUCUGUCUGAGGAUAUAUUUUGAAUUGUAUUUCUUUUAAAUUUCAGGGGAGUUUCUUUCUGGUCAUUUUCUAAAUAAAAGGUGUAAUUGAUACAAUUAGUGUUAGAUGGUAGGGUUCUAUAUAUGUACACAUUCUAAUUAAAGAAGUGGACAAUCGUCUCAGAAUUUUAUA
This is a long non-coding RNA of Ziziphus jujuba (common jujube), 836 nucleotides long. RefSeq lists it as uncharacterized. Lineage: Eukaryota; Viridiplantae; Streptophyta; Magnoliopsida; Rosales; Rhamnaceae. The record is from RefSeq and is a predicted model, not a curated record. The transcript is spliced from 4 exons.